Molecule: long non-coding RNA, 1325 nt
Organism: Populus trichocarpa (black cottonwood)
Lineage: Eukaryota; Viridiplantae; Streptophyta; Magnoliopsida; Malpighiales; Salicaceae
Exons: 3
Source: RefSeq, a predicted model, not a curated record
UUGAUUAUUACUCUGCUUUUUCUUUAAGCUUAAAGAUGCUCUGCUUUUUCUUCAAGCUUUUUUAAGUCAUUGGCUUGCAAAGAGUUUAAGAAACAGGACAAGAGGCAAUUAGCUUGCACAGCCAGCUUGCACGAUUGGUUUUUAUGGCUUUUGAAAGCUACCCUACUUUUCCUCUGGGCUUAGAAAGCAUUUGGCUUGCAUAAGCGAUUUGGAGCAGCUGUAGCUUGAGCAUGGCAUGUUGUCAUCAUGAUGGUGCAUUAAAUGUUUUAAUAAUUUGUCUGUCUUUUAUUCUCUUCAAUCGGGAGAGUGGGUGCAGAAUUUGAUGGGAUUGGACAUUUAGUUCUGGCUGGACUAUUUGCUGCUGGUUUUUUGGCUAAAGAUGGCUAGUUCUGACGGGUUUCUUCGUUUCUGCCAACUAUUUUGGUUUAUUUGUGACUUUUUUUUUACUCAUUUUGAAUUUUUUUUCCUUGCACUGUCAUUUCCUUUCCUGUUUCGAUAGAUUUUUUUAAUUAUAGCAUGUAACUGUUCCUUCGGCCAGGCAUGCUAUUGCGUGCUUAUUUUUGUCUUGAAGGGUGUACGUGAAUUGUAUUCUGCAUCUUUUCAACGUUUUUUACAUGGCCAUGCCUUUGAGGUCUGCUCUCUUUUCUUUCCGAACACUUCCCUGCCAUGUUUUUAUAUGAUUUUUUCUUAUUGCAAACUUUCCUUUAUUGGUUUCUCAUGCCAUCAUUUGGCUAGUGAUUUUUCUCGUUGUCUCGGUUUAUGACUUGCGUGAUUUUUGGUUCAAUUUCUCUGGUACAGUUUUGUGCUUUUGUGAUACAGUCACAUCCAGAGGUAGAUUGUGGGGCGAUUGGCUAGAAUAUUUUGCUUGCUUUUUACCGUCUGUUGGCUCCCAGCUCUUCAUUCUCUCUGUGAGAUCAUAUUCCAGGAGAAGACUUAUACUUCAAGGAUUUUGUCUUGCCGGAGAGAAUGUUGGCCGUGUCAUAUGGCCGGCGCAUGGAUGGCCACGCGGAGUAGAGGCAGGUUUUUUUUUGCCCACGGUCGGUGCAGCAUGCAGUUGCAUGGGAAAGACACAGCUCUCCCCUUAAACAUGUAGUGAGUUCAUAGCUGUCUUGGGUGGUUUUCCAAUGACAGUUUACAGAGUUGAGCCGAGUUAGCUUCGUCUGGGAUGUGCAGGCUAUGGUCAGAUGCCAAGGCUCCUGGUUUCUUUUUGCCUAAAAAUGCUACUGCUAUGACUAUUAAGGUUUCUUUUAGAUUUUUCUAAUGUAUCUAGCUCAACUGGUUCAAGAGUUUACUCUUCAUAAAUUAUUAAUUUGGAAUCCCACAAA